AAUAAAUGAUGCUAGGAAAACUGGAUGACCAUAUACAGAAGAAUGAAGCUGGACCCUUCUCUUCCCUUAUGAAAAAUCAACUCAAAAUGAAUUAAAAACCUAAAGGGUCUCAUUCUGUCGCCCAAGCUGGAGUGGAAUGGCACAAUCCAGGCUCACUGCAAUGGUGACCUCCUGGGCUCUCACAGCCUUGAUGCUCCUCCGGCAUCCCCAGUCUCUGGAUCAGAUUUUGCUCUAAAAGCACCGGGGAGAAGAAAGGCUUGUGAAUGCAAAGAAGGGUGCACAAACCAGCUGAGGCGAAUCCUGACUCCAAUCCUUGAAAUGACGUCUGUCAUCGUGCACUUCUCAUGCCACCCAAGAAGUGUCCCCUGAUGUUUCAGGCAGCUGUCACAUCUGCCUCCUCUGAGCUCCUAGUCAUUUGAUAUUUAAAAUGUACUGCCU
RNAcentral lists this long non-coding RNA (438 nucleotides) under Callithrix jacchus (white-tufted-ear marmoset). Its description in RNAcentral is "lncRNA (ENSCJAG00000072234.1)". Lineage: Eukaryota; Metazoa; Chordata; Mammalia; Primates; Cebidae. The record is from RNAcentral.